RNAcentral lists this ribosomal RNA (406 nucleotides) under uncultured bacterium. RNAcentral's name for it is "partial 16S ribosomal RNA". It matches the Rfam family "Bacterial small subunit ribosomal RNA", at positions 30 to 526 of the family's 1533-position model. The record is from RNAcentral.
AUUGAACGCUGGCGGCAGGCUUAACACAUGCAAGUCGAACGAGUGGCGGACGGGUGAGUAAUGUCUGGGAAACUGGCUGAUGGAGGGGGAUAACUACUGGAAACGGUCGCUAAUACCGCAUACCAUCGGAUGUGCCCAGAUGGGAUUAGCUAGUUGGUGGGGUAAAGGCCUACCUAGCCGACGAUCCCUAGCUGGUCUGAGAGGAUGACCAGCCACACCGGAACUGAGACACGGCCCAGACUCCUACGGGAGGCAGCAGUGGGGAAUAUUGCACAAUGGGCGCAAGCCUGAUGCAGCCAUGCCGCGUGUAUGAAGAAGGCCUUCGGGUUGUAAAGUACUUUCAGUGUUGAGGCGUUAAACGCAGAAGAAGCACCGGCUAACUCCGUGCCAGCAGCCGCGGUAAUAC